RNAcentral lists this ribosomal RNA (581 nucleotides) under uncultured bacterium. RNAcentral's name for it is "bacterial SSU rRNA". It matches the Rfam family "Bacterial small subunit ribosomal RNA", at positions 102 to 669 of the family's 1533-position model. The record is from RNAcentral.
ACGGGUGAGUAACACGUGGGCAACCUGCCUGUAAGACUGGGAUAACUUCGGGAAACCGAAGCUAAUACCGGAUAGGAUCUUCUCCUUCAUGGGAGAUGAUUGAAAGAUGGUUUCGGCUAUCACUUACAGAUGGGCCCGCGGUGCAUUAGCUAGUUGGUGAGGUAACGGCUCACCAAGGCAACGAUGCAUAGCCGACCUGAGAGGGUGAUCGGCCACACUGGGACUGAGACACGGCCCAGACUCCUACGGGAGGCAGCAGUAGGGAAUCUUCCGCAAUGGACGAAAGUCUGACGGAGCAACGCCGCGUGAGUGAUGAAGGCUUUCGGGUCGUAAAACUCUGUUGUUAGGGAAGAACAAGUACGAGAGUAACUGCUCGUACCUUGACGGUACCUAACCAGAAAGCCACGGCUAACUACGUGCCAGCAGCCGCGGUAAUACGUAGGUGGCAAGCGUUAUCCGGAAUUAUUGGGCGUAAAGCGCGCGCAGGCGGUUUCUUAAGUCUGAUGUGAAAGCCCACGGCUCAACCGUGGAGGGUCAUUGGAAACUGGGGAACUUGAGUGCAGAAGAGAAAAGCGGAAUUC